GGGGAAGCCAGCUGCCAUGUCCUGAAGAUACUAAGGCAACCGUGUGCAGAGGAACUAAAAUACCGAGUUCAACAACAGAUCACAGGUUGCGAGAGGUCUUAAAUCCAUACUCUUCCAGUGACUAGAGCAAAUGCAGCCCUAGGUCUGGCAUCCUGAAUUUUUGUCUUAUUUUUUCAUUAGUACACGAGACUCUACUUUCAUCUUUUUAAAAGGUCUCUUGCUAUCCUUCAAGCAAAGCUAUCUCCAAAUCUGAAGAAGAGACCAAGAAAUAGAAAAAGUAGCACCUCUUGCCUGCUUCCCUGUCUAAUAUUUGAAAGAGUGUGACUCUAUUCAGAGAUCCAGGAGCCAUAAGAAGAAGGGGAUUUAUGGCCAAUUUAUGAGGACAUCUUGAGACAGGAGAACACGCACGAGCUACUUGUGCUGCUGCUGUGGCAUCUGCUGGAGUUGACCACCAAAGCACACAUCCUCUUAGUCUGGAGAAGAGAGGACCCCAGCUGGCGGGAACCAUGCCCAUUCCCUUCUAUGCCAUCAGCCUGAUCUGCACCUUGCCUGGAGUGGUGAGAAUUGGAGACCCUGAACCCCCUCUCAGACAAGAGAUGUCACUUUUCUCCCUGGCUCAGUCUUGAGAAAUACCAGAAAGCAUUAAAAUGUGCUUGAGUUUUUAUGUAUUCUCUACAAGUCUGUAAGGGUACACUCUUACAGAGAGAAUCUGCUUUUACUCCUAAAGUUGAGUUAAAGAGUUCUUGAGAGGUAGGUAGUCAAUG
RNAcentral lists this long non-coding RNA (764 nucleotides) under Homo sapiens (human). Its description in RNAcentral is "HSALNT0335563". Lineage: Eukaryota; Metazoa; Chordata; Mammalia; Primates; Hominidae. The record is from RNAcentral.